UUGAUGAACGCUGGCGGUAUGCCUAACACAUGCAAGCCGAACGCACCUUCGGGUGAGUGGCGGACGGGUGAGUAACGCGUGAGAAUCUACCUUCUGGUCGGGGACAACCACUGGAAACGGUGGCUAAUACCCGAUGAGCUGCNAGGUCAAAGAUUUAUCGCCAGAAGAAGAGCUCGCGUNUGAUUANCUAGUUGGUGGGGUAAAAGCCUACCAAGGCANCGAUCANUANCUGGUCUGAGAGGAUGACCANCCACACUGGGACUGANACACGGCCCAGACUCCUACUGGAGGCAGCAGUGGGGAAUUUUCCNCAAUGGGCGCAAGCCUGACNGAGCAAUACCGCGUGAGGGAGGAAGGCUCUUGGGUCGUAAACCUCUUUUGUCAGGGAAGAAGAAAGUGACGGUACCUGACGAAUCAGCAUCGGCUAACUCCGUGCCAGCAGCCGCGGUAAU
This 452-nucleotide ribosomal RNA is filed under the name uncultured bacterium. Its description in RNAcentral is "partial 16S ribosomal RNA". It matches the Rfam family "Bacterial small subunit ribosomal RNA", at positions 28 to 524 of the family's 1533-position model. The record is from RNAcentral.